UCCGGUUUGUCACCGGCAGUCCCAUUAGAGUGCUCAACUGAAUGUAGCAACUAAUGGCAAGGGUUGCGCUCGUUGCGGGACUUAACCCAACAUCUCACGACACGAGCUGACGACAGCCAUGCAGCACCUGUGUUCAGGUUCCCUUUCGGGCACCUCUGCAUUUCUGCAGAGUUCCUGACAUGUCAAGGGUAGGUAAGGUGGGGAUGACGUAGACCUUGGACC
This 222-nucleotide unclassified non-coding RNA is filed under the name uncultured Gammaproteobacteria bacterium. RNAcentral's name for it is "contains 16S-23S intergenic spacer region". Lineage: Bacteria; Pseudomonadati; Pseudomonadota; Gammaproteobacteria. The record is from RNAcentral.